GUCGAACGGUAACAUAAAGAGCUUGCUUCUUUGAUGACGAGUGGCGGACGGGUGAGUAAUGCUUGGGAAUCUAGCUUAUGGAGGGGGAUAACUACGGGAAACUGUAGCUAAUACCGCGUAAUAUCGAAAGAUUAAAGUGUGGGACCUUCGGGCCACAUGCCAUAGGAUGAGCCCAAGUGGGAUUAGGUAGUUGGUGAGGUAAAGGCUCACCAAGCCGACGAUCUCUAGCUGGUCUGAGAGGAUGACCAGCCACACUGGGACUGAGACACGGCCCAGACUCCUACGGGAGGCAGCAGUGGGGAAUAUUGCGCAAUGGGGGCAACCCUGACGCAGCCAUGCCGCGUGAAUGAAGAAGGCCUUCGGGUUGUAAAGUUCUUUCGGUAGCGAGGAAGGCAUUUAGUUUAAUAGACUAGGUGAUUGACGUUAACUACAGAAGAAGCACCGGCUAACUCCGUGCCAGCAGCCGCGGUAAUACGGAGGGUGCGAGCGUUAAUCGGAAUAACUGGGCGUAAAGGGCACGCAGGCGGUGACUUAAGUGAGGUGUGAAAGCCCCGGGCUUAACCUGGGAAUUGCAUUUCAUACUGGGUCGCUAGAGUACUUUAGGGAGGGGUAGAAUUCCACGUGUAGCGGUGAAAUGCGUAGAGAUGUGGAGGAAUACCGAAGGCGAAGGCAGCCCCUUGGGAAUGUACUGACGCUCAUGUGCGAAAGCGUGGGGAGCAAACAGGAUUAGAUACCCU
This 737-nucleotide ribosomal RNA is filed under the name Parahaemophilus parainfluenzae. RNAcentral's name for it is "Haemophilus parainfluenzae bacterial SSU rRNA". It matches the Rfam family "Bacterial small subunit ribosomal RNA", at positions 61 to 788 of the family's 1533-position model. The record is from RNAcentral. Lineage: Bacteria; Pseudomonadati; Pseudomonadota; Gammaproteobacteria; Pasteurellales; Pasteurellaceae.